CUACGGUGAAUACGUUCCCGGACCUUGUACACACCGCCCGUCAAGCCAUGGAAGCUGGGUGUACCUAAAGUCGAUAACCGUAAGGAGUCGCCUAGGGUAAAACUAGUAACUGGGGCU
This 117-nucleotide ribosomal RNA is filed under the name uncultured bacterium. Its description in RNAcentral is "partial 16S ribosomal RNA". It matches the Rfam family "Bacterial small subunit ribosomal RNA", at positions 1357 to 1482 of the family's 1533-position model. The record is from RNAcentral.